RNAcentral lists this ribosomal RNA (301 nucleotides) under uncultured bacterium. RNAcentral's name for it is "partial 16S ribosomal RNA". It matches the Rfam family "Bacterial small subunit ribosomal RNA", at positions 509 to 808 of the family's 1533-position model. The record is from RNAcentral.
CAGCCGCCGCGGUAAUACGUAGGUCCCGAGCGUUGUCCGGAUUUAUUGGGCGUAAAGCGAGCGCAGGCGGUUAGAUAAGUCUGAAGUUAAAGGCUGUGGCUUAACCAUAGUACGCUUUGGAAACUGUUUAACUUGAGUGCAAGAGGGGAGAGUGGAAUUCCAUGUGUAGCGGUGAAAUGCGUAGAUAUAUGGAGGAACACCGGUGGCGAAAGCGGCCCUCUGGCUUGUAACUGACGCUGAGGCUCGAAAGCGUGGGGAGCAAACAGGAUUAGAUACCCCGGUAGUCCCUGUCUCUUAUACA